AAGACCCAUCAACAGAUAUAUAAUUGAAUUAUUUUUCCAAUGAUACCAAUUUCGCCUUAAUGCGAUAUCGAGGGCGAGAAGUUAUGGCCAAAAUACUGAAACACUGUUGAAGUUGUGUCGAAUCUAUCCAAGAUAUGACUUGUAAGGUAUGUCCAUGAUAUGACUCGUAAGGUCUCCUUACGAGUUGUUAGGAGGAAGU
RNAcentral lists this long non-coding RNA (199 nucleotides) under Capsicum annuum. Its description in RNAcentral is "long non-coding RNA (CANN_LNC007234)". Lineage: Eukaryota; Viridiplantae; Streptophyta; Magnoliopsida; Solanales; Solanaceae. The record is from RNAcentral.